GACGAACGCUGGCGGCGUGCUUAACACAUGCAAGUCGAACGGAAAGGCCCUGCUUUUGUGGGGUGCUCGAGUGGCGAACGGGUGAGUAACACGUGAGUAACCUGCCCUUAACUUUGGGAUAACUUCAGGAAACUGGGGCUAAUACCGGAUAGGAGCUCCUGCUGCAUGGUGGGGGUUGGAAAGUUUCGGCGGUUGGGGAUGGACUGGCGGCUUAUCAGCUUGUUGGUGGGGUCGUGGCUUACCAAGGCUUUGACGGGUAGCCGGCCUGAGAGGGUGACCGGCCACAUUGGGACUGAGAUACGGCCCAGACUCCUACGGGAGGCAGCAGUGGGGAAUAUUGCACAAUGGGCGGAAGCCUGAUGCAGCAACGCCGCGUGCGGGAUGACGGCCUUCGGGUUGUAAACCGCUUUCGCCUGUGACGAAGCGUGAGUGACGGUAAUGGGUAAAGAAGCACCGGCUAACUACGUG
Molecule: ribosomal RNA, 468 nt
Filed under: uncultured bacterium
Lineage: Bacteria
Description: partial 16S ribosomal RNA
Rfam family: Bacterial small subunit ribosomal RNA
Source: RNAcentral